This 604-nucleotide long non-coding RNA is filed under the name Homo sapiens (human). Its description in RNAcentral is "HSALNT0302359". Lineage: Eukaryota; Metazoa; Chordata; Mammalia; Primates; Hominidae. The record is from RNAcentral.
UUGUUGAUGUGACCGCGUGUCCACAACCCUGGGAUUCCCUCGCCCUCAGAUUCCAGAAUCCAAUUUCUUGGAUUUCAGUGUUUUUAAGGUGGGAGGUCUCGCUAUGCUUCCCAGGCUGGACUCAAAUUCCUGGGCUCAAGUGAUUCCCCCGCCUCAGCCUCCUGAGUAGCUGGGACUACAGAUAUGGCAUGUCAGUCUGGUGGUCUAGCCAGAGGAAGACUCCUGGAGCUGGUGAACUGUGCAUGGAUAUGCAGUCACGGGCAGCCCACCUCCUACUCCUCACCCUCCCUGUGCCUGUGAGGGUCUGCACUCACCCUGGUCUUGCUUUAUUGCCCAGGCUGGAGUACAGUGGCGCAAUCACGGCUCACUGCAGCCUCAACCUCUUGGGCCCGAGCAAUCUUCCCACCUUGGUCUCCUAAAGUGCUGGGAUAACAGGCAUGAGCCACCACAUCUGGCUGAGGCCCCACAUUUUCAUUUUGUGCUGAGACUUGUAAAUUAGGUAGCUGGUCCUGGCUGUAGCAGAUGGUAUAGAUUCUUUUUCUGGCUCUGUUUUUGUGACAUCUCAACUUACUGGGCUCUUAUUAAAGGUGAUUUAGGUGACUUA